UUGAACGCUGGCGGCAGGCCUAACACAUGCAAGUCGAGCGGAUGAAGGGAGCUUGCUCCUGAAUUCAGCGGCGGACGGGUGAGUAAUGCCUAGGAAUCUGCCUGGUAGUGGGGGACAACGUUUCGAAAGGAACGCUAAUACCGCAUACGUCCUACGGGAGAAAGCAGGGGACCUUCGGGCCUUGCGCUAUCAGAUGAGCCUAGGUCGGAUUAGCUAGUUGGUGAGGUAAUGGCUCACCAAGGCGACGAUGCGUAACUGGUCUGAGAGGAUGAUCAGUCACACUGGAACUGAGACACGGUCCAGACUCCUACGGGAGGCAGCAGUGGGGAAUAUUGGACAAUGGGCGAAAGCCUGAUCCAGCCAUGCCGCGUGUGUGAAGAAGGUCUUCGGAUUGUAAAGCACUUUAAGUUGGGAGGAAGGGUUGUAGAUUAAUACUCUGCAAUUUUGACGUUNCCGACAGAAUNANCACCNNCUANCUCUNUG
RNAcentral lists this ribosomal RNA (483 nucleotides) under uncultured Pseudomonas sp. RNAcentral describes it as "bacterial SSU rRNA". It matches the Rfam family "Bacterial small subunit ribosomal RNA", at positions 30 to 507 of the family's 1533-position model. Lineage: Bacteria; Pseudomonadati; Pseudomonadota; Gammaproteobacteria; Pseudomonadales; Pseudomonadaceae. The record is from RNAcentral.